This 459-nucleotide ribosomal RNA is filed under the name uncultured bacterium. RNAcentral describes it as "partial 16S ribosomal RNA". It matches the Rfam family "Bacterial small subunit ribosomal RNA", at positions 338 to 795 of the family's 1533-position model. The record is from RNAcentral.
CCUACGGGGGGCAGCAGUGAGGAAUAUUGGUCAAUGGGCGGGAGCCUGAACCAGCCAAGCCGCGUGAGGGAAGAAGGUACAGCGUAUCGUAAACCUCUUUUGUCAGGGAACAAAGGCGGGGACUAGUCCCCGGAUGAGGGUACCUGAAGAAAAAGCAUCGGCUAACUCCGUGCCAGCAGCCGCGGUAAUACGGAGGAGGCGAGCGUUAUCCGGAUUUAUGGGGUUUAAAGGGUGGGCAGGCGGCCUGUUAAGUCAGCGGUAAAAGCGCGGGGCUCAACCCCGGAGAGCCGUUGAAACUGGCGGGCUGGAGUUGGAGAGAGGUACGCGGAAUGCGCGGUGUAGCGGUGAAAUGCUUAGAUAUCGCGCAGAACCCCGAUUGCGAAGGCAGCGUACCGGCUCCACACUGACGCUGAGGCACGAAAGCGUGGGUAUCGAACAGGAUUAGAUACCCUAGUAGUC